ACAAAAUUGUGACUUAGUUUAGAGAUUAGGGUUAAUUGCUUUGAUUUUCAUACUCAUAUUGGGCUAUAGGAGGAUAGAUUAGUAGUGAUUAGUUUUAUUAGUUUAUUAAUAGUAAGAUGUAGCAAUAGUUAAAAAUUCCAACAAAUAUUUGUGCCAGCAGUUGCGGUUAUACAAAAGGUGUUACUUAAUUUAUGCGGUUUUAGUUAAUUGAUUAUUUAAUUUUAAAAUUUAUAUUGAGAGGUGAAAUUUUAAUAUGAAGUUAAGGGAUUUUAAUUAGAUGUUCUAGGAAAAUUUAUUAAUAAACCAGGAUUAGAUACCCUGUUAUAUUUCAUUGUAUAAUAAUAAGGCCGGAUUAGUAGUAGUUAAAUUCUUUAAAAUUAAAUAUCUUGGCGGUACUCUAACCUGUCAGAGGAACCUGUCCUGUUAUUGAUAGUCCACAAUUUAUCUUACUUUUGCUAUUGCUUGUAUAUCGUUGUUGUAAAGAAUAUUUUUAAAAAGCUAAUUUUCUUUAAAUAAAAUUUUAUUUUAGAUCAAAUCAAGGUGCAGCUUUAAAAAGAAGAGAUGGGUUACGUUAAUGAGUUUAAAUUUGUAAAUUUUACAUUUAUUAGGAUUUGAAAGUAAUUGUAUUUAUUUAAGUAAGUUGAAUCAGGCUCUGGAGUAUGUACAUAUCGCCCGUCGCUUUCAUAUUUAUAUGAAAUAAGUCGUAACAUAGUAGAGCUAUCGGAAGAUGGCUCUGGAAUGAC
Molecule: non-coding RNA, 743 nt
Filed under: Cryptocephalus androgyne
Lineage: Eukaryota; Metazoa; Arthropoda; Insecta; Coleoptera; Chrysomelidae
Source: RNAcentral